UUUAAAACAAUUGGGUACUUAUUUGAAAUUUGAUUCAUGAACUGCCAGGCUUCUCUUGGAACAAUUUCUUCUGACCUUGAAAUUCUCCAGCCCACAUUUGUGGGGAGCUGGUUGGUGUCACUGGAUGCAGAUUCCUAAAGAAGACUUCACAGUGAACAUAUUUCUACUUGACUCGUGGUUUAAGUGCUGCAAGUUAAGCAGCAACUCUUUGAUGUCUCUUCAUAUUACCUUCAGAAAGAUCAAAGUUCCAUGAGGGCAAAGCUAUGUCUCUUUUAUGUAGUGCUUAUCUCCUGGCAACUAACACAAC
This is a long non-coding RNA of Tupaia belangeri chinensis (Chinese tree shrew), 307 nucleotides long. RefSeq lists it as uncharacterized. The transcript is spliced from 4 exons. The record is from RefSeq and is a predicted model, not a curated record. NCBI's taxonomy places the organism in Eukaryota, Metazoa, Chordata, Mammalia, Scandentia, Tupaiidae.